This is a long non-coding RNA of Medicago truncatula (barrel medic), 1133 nucleotides long. RefSeq lists it as uncharacterized. The record is from RefSeq and is a predicted model, not a curated record. Lineage: Eukaryota; Viridiplantae; Streptophyta; Magnoliopsida; Fabales; Fabaceae. The transcript is spliced from 2 exons.
AACACUUGCUUGUAUUCAAUUAGAUAAGAUAUAAGUUCACCACCAACGAAGAUAAAGUACAAGUAGUACUCAAGAAACCAAAACAAACUCAUCUACCUCUACAUUCUAAAAGAUUAGAAAACCAUUCAUAAAACAAAACAUAAGUAACCCAAUUUUCUCUCCAAAAAUAUUCUCUCUCAUUCCUGCCCAUCCAAAGUCAUAUGCCAAAUUAGCAAUAAUCGUUUUGGCAACUUUUCUUUCUUGGAAUAGAAGCAAAAGCUUUCUAAUAAGACAAAGAGGUUUUCCGUAGCGAAGGUUGAAAAGCUCUCUCCGACAUCCCCAUGUGUUUGGCCCAAUUGUUGUUGUUGGGCGCAACUUGGGGGUGCCGGGGGCAAUAACCUCAUGGUACGAUUCACAGAUUACUAGAGCACUUCCCCCAAAACCGGAGUAUGGCAUCUAAAAACACACAUCCCCAAGAGUAAUUGAUAAAAAAGACGGAGUAUGGUCCGCAACUGAACUCCUUCAACCAAACUUGCAUCUUUCAUUCAUCAAGAAACCAACCUUACAUCCCUCACGCUUCAUUCUUCAGAAGUUUGUGCAGAAUAGUUUUAGUCAAUAUAUAUUCUAAAUUAGGUGACAUGGUUUUGGCUAGAAAUGUGUUUGAUUCCAUGGUUGAUAAAGAUUUAGUGUGUUGGAACUCUUUUGAUUGAUGGGUAUGCUUGAAUUAGCGUUGAAGAUGUUUGAUGAAAUGCCUAGUAGGGAUGACUGGAAAUUGGCUAAUAGUGUCGAUCCGAGGCAUACUGUACACGUAUUGGGCAGGAGUGGCAGCUUAUCAGGACAAGAGCUAUAGGGAAGUGAGAAUGCACAAGAUGCAUCUAGAGAGGGAAGAUAUAAAUGCAAUCUUGAUGCUUUGUUUUCACAACAACGAAACCGUGUUUAUUUUGGUUUGUACCAGAGAUAACGAGGGUCGUUUUGUGCUUGCCAAAAUAUCGUGGUCCUCACCUAUAUGUAAUGUGGAUGUAGUAGAAAGCAUUGAUUUGAGAUUUUUAUAUGCUAUUACAUGGGGUUCACCAGCUGCAGUUAGGAAUUGAUUUUGCUGUAUUCGAAAAAAGGUAGUAAAUUAUUUUAUAAGGUAGAAAUGAUGUUAUAGAGUU